This 497-nucleotide ribosomal RNA is filed under the name uncultured bacterium. Its description in RNAcentral is "partial 16S ribosomal RNA". It matches the Rfam family "Bacterial small subunit ribosomal RNA", at positions 28 to 507 of the family's 1533-position model. The record is from RNAcentral.
GAUGAACGCUGGCGGCGUGCCUAACACAUGCAAGUCGAGCGAACAGACGAGGAGUUUGCUCCUCCGACGUUAGCGGCGGACGGGUGAGUAACACGUGGAUAACCUACCUAUAAGACUGGGAUAACUUCGGGAAACCGGAGCUAAUACCGGAUAAUAUAUUGAACUGCAUGGUUCAAUAGUGAAAGACGGUUUUGCUGUCACUUAUAGACGGAUCCGCGCCGCAUCAGCUAGUUGGUAAGGUAACGGCUUACCAAGGCAACGAUGCGUAGCCGACCUGAGAGGGUGAUCGGCCACACUGGAACUGAGACACGGUCCAGACUCCUACGGGAGGCAGCGGUAGGGAAUCUUCCGCGAUGGGCGAAAGCCUGACAGAGCAACACCGCGUGAGUGAUGAAGGUCUUCGGAUCGUAAAGCUCUGUUGUUAGGGAAGAACAAAUGUUUAAGUACCUAUGCACGUCUUGACGGUACCUAAACAAAAAGCCACGGCUAACUACGUG